RNAcentral lists this non-coding RNA (27 nucleotides) under Bombyx mori (domestic silkworm). The record is from RNAcentral. Lineage: Eukaryota; Metazoa; Arthropoda; Insecta; Lepidoptera; Bombycidae.
UCUAUCUUAAUUGUUGAAGUUUGGUUC